This 758-nucleotide ribosomal RNA is filed under the name uncultured Bacteroidota bacterium. RNAcentral describes it as "bacterial SSU rRNA". It matches the Rfam family "Bacterial small subunit ribosomal RNA", at positions 67 to 817 of the family's 1533-position model. The record is from RNAcentral. Lineage: Bacteria; Pseudomonadati; Bacteroidota.
CGGCAGCACAGUGUAGCAAUACAUGGGUGGCGAGUGGCGCACGGGUGCGUAACACGUAUGCAAUUUGCCCAUAACUGGGGGAUAGCCCUCCGAAAGGAGGAUUAAUACCCCAUAACCCAGCGAGGUGGCAUCACCUUUCUGGUAAAUCUCCGGAGGUUAUGGAUGAGCAUGCGUCUGAUUAGCUAGUUGGUGAGGUAACGGCUCACCAAGGCAACGAUCAGUAGGGGGUCUGAGAGGAUGAUCCCCCACACGGGUACUGAGACACGGACCCGACUCCUACGGGAGGCAGCAGUAAGGAAUAUUGGACAAUGGAGGCAACUCUGAUCCAGCCAUGCCGCGUGAAGGAUGAAGGCCCUACGGGUUGUAAACUUCUUUUCUCUUAGAAAAAACUACUGGUUUCGUACCGGUACUGAUUGUACAAGAGGAAUAAGCAUCGGCUAACUUCGUGCCAGCAGCCGCGGUAAUACGAAGGAUGCAAGCGUUAUCCGGAUUCACUGGGUUUAAAGGGUGUGCAGGUGGGGUAAUAAGUCGGUGGUGAAAGCCCCCGACUCAAUCGGGGAACUGCCAUAGAUACUGUUAUUCUUGAGUGUGGUUGAGGCGGAUGGAGUAUGACAUGUAGCGGUGAAAUGCUUAGAUAUGUCAUAGAACACCGAUCGCGAAGGCAGUCCGCCAAACCAUUACUGACACUGAAACACGAAAGUGCGGGGAUCAAACAGGAUUAGAUACCCUGGUAGUCCGCACCGUAAACGAUGAUCACU